RNAcentral lists this ribosomal RNA (459 nucleotides) under uncultured Clostridium sp. Its description in RNAcentral is "bacterial SSU rRNA". It matches the Rfam family "Bacterial small subunit ribosomal RNA", at positions 27 to 505 of the family's 1533-position model. The record is from RNAcentral. Lineage: Bacteria; Bacillati; Bacillota; Clostridia; Eubacteriales; Clostridiaceae.
GGACGAACGCUGGCGGCGUGCCUAACACAUGCAAGUCGAGCGAUGAAAUCCUUCGGGAUGGAUUAGCGGCGGACGGGUGAGUAACACGUGGGUAACCUGCCUCAAAGAGGGGAAUAGCCUCCCGAAAGGGAGAUUAAUACCGCAUAAUAUGUUUUGGUCGCAUGACCGAAACAUCAAAGGAGCAAUCCGCUUUGAGAUGGACCCGCGGCGCAUUAGCUAGUUGGUGAGGUAACGGCUCACCAAGGCGACGAUGCGUAGCCGACCUGAGAGGGUGAUCGGCCACAUUGGAACUGAGACACGGUCCAGACUCCUACGGGAGGCAGCAGUGGGGAAUAUUGCGCAAUGGGGGAAACCCUGACGCAGCAACGCCGCGUGAAUGAUGAAGGCCUUCGGGUUGUAAAGUUCUGUCUUCUGGGACGAUAAUGACGGUACCAGAGGAGGAAGCCACGGCUAACUACG